RNAcentral lists this ribosomal RNA (467 nucleotides) under uncultured bacterium. RNAcentral describes it as "partial 16S ribosomal RNA". It matches the Rfam family "Bacterial small subunit ribosomal RNA", at positions 29 to 507 of the family's 1533-position model. The record is from RNAcentral.
ACGAACGCUGGCGGCGUGCUUAACCCCUGCAAGUCGAACGGAAAGGCCCUGCUUUUGUGGGGUGCUCGAGUGGCGAACGGGUGAGUAACACGUGAGUAACCUGCCCUUGACUUUGGGAUAACUUCAGGAAACUGGGGCUAAUACCGGAUAGGAGCUCCUGCUGCAUGGUGGGGGUUGGAAAGUUUCGGCGGUUGGGGAUGGACUCGCGGCUUAUCAGCUUGUUGGUGGGGUAGUGGCUUACCAAGGCUUUGACGGGUAGCCGGCCUGAGCGGGUGACCGGCCACAUUGGGACUGAGAUACGGCCCAGACUCCUACGGGAGGCAGCAGUGGGGAAUAUUGCACAAUGGGCGGAAGCCUGAUGCAGCAACGCCGCGUGCGGGAUGACGGCCUUCGGGUUGUAAACCGCUUUCGCCUGUGACGAAGCGUGAGUGACGGUAAUGGGUAAAGAAGCACCGGCUAACUACGUG